RNAcentral lists this ribosomal RNA (546 nucleotides) under uncultured bacterium. Its description in RNAcentral is "partial 16S ribosomal RNA". It matches the Rfam family "Bacterial small subunit ribosomal RNA", at positions 355 to 895 of the family's 1533-position model. The record is from RNAcentral.
UGGGGAAUUUUGGACAAUGGGCGAAAGCCUGAUCCAGCAAUGCCGCGUGUGUGAAGAAGGCCUUCGGGUUGUAAAGCACUUUUGUCCGGAAAGAAAUCCUUGGCUCUAAUACAGUCGGGGGAUGACGGUACCGGAAGAAUAAGCACCGGCUAACUACGUGCCAGCAGCCGCGGUAAUACGUAGGGUGCAAGCGUUAAUCGGAAUUACUGGGCGUAAAGCGUGCGCAGGCGGUUUGCUAAGACCGAUGUGAAAUCCCCGGGCUCAACUUGGGAACUGCAUUGGUGACUGGCAGGCUAGAGUAUGGCAGAGGGGGGUAGAAUUCCACGUGUAGCAGUGAAAUGCGUAGAGAUGUGGAGGAAUACCGAUGGCGAAGGCAGCCCCCUGGGCCAAUACUGACGCUCAUGCACGAAAGCGUGGGGAGCAAACAGGAUUAGAUACCCUGGUAGUCCACGCCCUAAACGAUGUCAACUAGUUGUGGGGAUUCAUUUCCUUAGUAACGUAGCUAACGCGUGAAGUUGGCCGCCUGGGGAGUACGGUCGCAAGAUU